GACGAACGCUGGCGGCGUGCCUAAUACAUGCAAGUAGAACGCUGAAGGAGGAGCUUGCUUCUCUGGAUGAGUUGCGAACGGGUGAGUAACGCGUAGGUAACCUGCCUGGUAGCGGGGGAUAACUAUUGGAAACGAUAGCUAAUACCGCAUAAUAGUAGAUGUUGCAUGACAUUUGCUUAAAAGGUGCAAUUGCAUCACUACCAGAUGGACCUGCGUUGUAUUAGCUAGUUGGUGGGGUAACGGCUCACCAAGGCGACGAUACAUAGCCGACCUGAGAGGGUGAUCGGCCACACUGGGACUGAGACACGGCCCAGACUCCUACGGGAGGCGGCAGUAGGGAAUCUUCGGCAAUGGACGGAAGUCUGACCGAGCAACGCCGCGUGAGUGAAGAAGGUUUUCGGAUCGUAAAGCUCUGUUGUAAGAGAAGAACGAGUGUGAGAGUGGAAAGUUCACACUGUGACGGUAUCUUACCAGAAAGGGACGGCUAACUACGUG
Molecule: ribosomal RNA, 495 nt
Filed under: uncultured bacterium
Lineage: Bacteria
Description: partial 16S ribosomal RNA
Rfam family: Bacterial small subunit ribosomal RNA
Source: RNAcentral